UAGGGAAUCUUCGGCAAUGGACGAAAGUCUGACCGAGCAACGCCGCGUGAGUGAAGAAGGUUUUCGGAUCGUAAAACUCUGUUGUUAGAGAAGAACAAGGACGUUAGUAACUGAACGUCCCCUGACGGUAUCUAACCAGAAAGCCACGGCUAACUACGUGCCAGCAGCCGCGGUAAUACGUAGGUGGCAAGCGUUGUCCGGAUUUAUUGGGCGUAAAGCGAGCGCAGGCGGUUUCUUAAGUCUGAUGUGAAAGCCCCCGGCUCAACCGGGGAGGGUCAUUGAAAACUGGGAGACUUGAGUGCAGAAGAGGAGAGUGGAAUUCCAUGUGUAGCGGUGAACUGCGUAGAUAUAUGGAGGAACACCAGUGGCGAAGGCGGCUCUCUGGUCUAUAACUGACGCUGAGGCACGAAAGCGUGGGGAGCAAACAGG
RNAcentral lists this ribosomal RNA (429 nucleotides) under Gemmatimonadota bacterium. Its description in RNAcentral is "Gemmatimonadetes bacterium partial 16S ribosomal RNA". It matches the Rfam family "Bacterial small subunit ribosomal RNA", at positions 355 to 776 of the family's 1533-position model. The record is from RNAcentral. Lineage: Bacteria; Pseudomonadati; Gemmatimonadota.